RNAcentral lists this ribosomal RNA (459 nucleotides) under uncultured bacterium. RNAcentral's name for it is "partial 16S ribosomal RNA". It matches the Rfam family "Bacterial small subunit ribosomal RNA", at positions 338 to 795 of the family's 1533-position model. The record is from RNAcentral.
CCUACGGGAGGCAGCAGUGAGGAAUAUUGGUCAAUGGGAGAGAUCCUGAACCAGCCAAGCCGCGUGAGGGAAGACGGCCCUAUGGGUUGUAAACCUCUUUUGUCGGAGAACAAAACCCGGGACGUGUCCCGGACUGCGUGUAUCCGAAGAAAAAGCAUCGGCUAACUCCGUGCCAGCAGCCGCGGUAAUACGGAGGAUGCGAGCGUUAUCCGGAUUUAGUGGGUUUAAAGGGUGCGUAGGCGGUCCGUUAAGUCAGCGGUAAAAUUGCGGGGCUCAACCCCGUCGAGCCGUUGAAACUGGCAGACUUGAGUUGGCGAGAAGUACGCGGAAUGCGCGGUGUAGCGGUGAAAUGCAUAGAUAUCGCGCAGAACUCCGAUUGCGAAGGCAGCGUACUGGCGCCAGACUGACGCUGAGGCACGAAAGCGUGGGGAUCGAACAGGAUUAGAUACCCCUGUAGUC